This 3118-nucleotide long non-coding RNA is filed under the name Macaca fascicularis (crab-eating macaque). RNAcentral's name for it is "lncRNA (ENSMFAG00000050234.1)". Lineage: Eukaryota; Metazoa; Chordata; Mammalia; Primates; Cercopithecidae. The record is from RNAcentral.
UUUUUUUUUCUUUUUUUUUUUUUUUUUGAGUUGGAAUGCAUUUAUUUAUCCCUCAUUCUUGAAAAAUAUUUUCAAUGAUGAAUUCAAAGUUUACUGUUAUUUCUUUCUGCAUAUUAUCAUUACACUAUCUUCUAAGUUCCCUAGUAACAAUUGGAACUUUAAAAGUAAUCUUAAAAUGUCAUCUGUUUUUUCUCUCUGACUGCAUAUAUGAUUUUUCUUUUUUGUCUUUAGUUUUGUAUAGUUUCACUGUGAAGUAUCUAGUUGUAGAUUUUUAUUCAUCCAUCUUUCUUGGUUUCUUGACUCUAGAUUGGUGACUUUCAUCAGUUCUGGAAAAUUCUGGAUUCCUUUCUUUCCAUUCCUUCUGGGACUCUGAUAACACAUGUAUUUUUCUACCCUCCAUGUUUGUCAAACAUCUCUUUUAUAGUAUGUCUCUCUUUUAUCUCUCGAGGCUGUAUUCUGGUAAAUUUCAAAAAUAUUCUGUUCACUAGUUCUUUCUUCAGCUUUGUCUCAUUUUCUGUCAAAGUCAUCCAUUUAGUUUCUAAUUUAUGUUAUUUUUAUUUCUAAAGUUCUGUUUGGUUAUUUUCCAAAUCUGUAUUCUCUUAACUCAUUUUUUCAGCCUCUCUUUAAUUUAUUAAAAACAUUUAAUAUAUAUAGUUAAAAUUCUAUUUCUAAACAUUCCAAUAUCUGAAGCAUUUGUGGGUCUGCUUCUACUAUCUGAUCUUUUUUCUACUUGUUCUUACUUAUGGUCCCUUGAUUUCUUCUAUGUAUGUGAUUUCUUUUUAUGUUAUGUGAUCCUUAGAACUUUAUAUAUAGAAAUUGAGUGACAGCUGAAAUGAAAAUGAGUUCUCUGGAGAAGAUACUAAUUUACUGCUGCUAGAUGCCUGGGAUCACUAGCAAUUCAGAACCAUAAAUACUAAAUUCUCAGGUUGAAAUUCUUCAGAUCAUUCAUGUCAGACCUGGUUUGUAGCUAUGAAUCCUCUGGGAAGCUUUUUUACCCUUAACUCUGCUCCAUUGUUUGAGACAAUUGUCCUUGAAUACCUUUGGGGUAUUGGCUUUAUGAAGAGUAUCCUAUUGGAUUUCCUACAUUAGGAAGGGUCUGAAGCCACGUAACACCAUGAUAACAGUUCAUGGUCUUCCAGUUCAUCCAGCUUAGGAAAAACCCUAAAGAUGAAGAUGAAAGGUGGCUUUUUUUUUUUUUUUGAGACGGAGUCUCACUCUGUGGCCAGGCUGGAGUACAGUGGUGUGAUCUCGGCUCACUGCAACCUCCACCUCCUGGGUUCAAGCGAUUCUUCUGCCUCAGCCUCCUGAGUAGCUGGGACUACAGGCACCUGCCACCACGCUUAGCUCAUUUUUCUAUUUUUAGUAGAGACAGGAUUUCACCAUGUUGGCCAGGAUGGUCUCCAUCUCUUGACCUCAUGUUCCACCCCCAUCGGCCUCCCAAAGUGCUGGGAUUACAGGGAAAGGUGGCACUCGUGGCUACUUUUAUUUGUCCCCCAUCCUCCACCCCUAAAUAUUUCCACUUGAUUGCUUGCUCUUUAAUGCAUUGUAAACUUUUUAAAAUACUUAAUUCUGAAUUUUUAGUUGAUUUUCAUGAAAGUUUUGAUCAGACUAUAAUGAAUGAUUACUUAGUUCUGACUAUAGUGUCAUGUAAAAUGGACUAAUUGCAACUUUUUAUCCACCUAAUAAUGUCCACCUUCCUCAAACCAUGUCCAAAAAGUCCCCAACUUAUAUAUCCUUAUAUAUUAACGGUGUAGAGAAACCCAAGUUCAGGGCUUUUAGUAAGCCAACUGCCCUGAUUUCCAGUAUACUAUGACAACUGGAAAGGUAACCCCUGGCUUCCCAACCCCAACCACUUAUUCAUUGAAUCCGUGUAGUAAUAUGCCUUAGACAGAAGUGAAGAGUUACUAAUACCCAGGACUACUAAAGUUGACAGCUCCUUUCCCUUCUGAAUAUGAAAUAAUAAACACUAUUAUAAACUCUAGAAUGGUAUUUUUAAAAAUAAUACUAUUAAUAAUGCUUCAGGUUCAAUAUAACUUUACUAGACUCAUAAGCCUCACCAAUAUAUAUUAAGAUUUUGAGUUCUAAACAAUUAACUUAGAAAUGAAUUUUUUGAGGCAAGCAUCUCAUAAGUUGUAGCCAACAUGUAUCCAAGUCAGGUAUUUCCUAGAUUGUAACUCUACACAACCUCUGAUUAGUAUUCUUAGGUGAAAUUUAUGAAUAGUAUCACCACCUUCAUUUAUUAUAGAAGAAAAGUUAUGAAGUAUUUAACAAAUCAAAUUUAUUGACACUCUUAGGAAACUAUCUUUAAAUUAUUUUAUCAGGACCUGCCUUUUAAUAUUGACUGAGAUAGUGUUGCUAAGGAAAACAUUCUCCUGGCAUGUUGUCCUUUUUAUACUUAGCAGCAAUAUCAUGAAUUUGAAUCUGAAGGUAAAUCUCCCUCAACAAGACAUGUGAAAUACUUUUAAAAUAAAGAGAGAUGGAGGUAAGGAUUUGGGAGCAAUAUCUUCCCUGAAAGUAUGCCUUUCUGAGUUGUUUCACACCUCAAAGCUUAUAGAGUUAGCAUUCUAUGUUGAUUUAAAAUCAAAUUUAAUAAAAACGGUUGUCUUCCAGUUUGUGGACAAAAGAACUCAGAUAAAUUUUGACAUCUUUACUACGAAAUCUGAACAUAUCCAAAUAUCUCUAACAUUCAAGGGGUAAAUGAUGAUAUUUGUUUAUUUUGCUGUUAAACUUUUAGUAAGAAAAUAUAGUAAAGUUAUCAGAAAUAAUACAGCACAGCAAAAGAUCUUCUUCUGCCUUUUUCAGGUGAUUUGCCAAAAAUCGUAAAUAAAUUUUCUUACCUCUGACCAGCUUCUGCAUGUCCUCCCUUAUCUUUGUUCCUCAAUCUGCCAGACAUUGUAGAGCUUAAAAUAGUCCUUGGAGUUCAGAACAAAGAAUAAUUGAAGCAGAGUGUCACCAACAGAUGGUAAUCAGUGGAGUCAAAUUUUCUUCAGAGAUUCUUUGAGGAUUCUCAUUUGGACUUCAAGAAAGAGUGCUGUGUUUGUGUAACCCUGAGGCAUUGCAUGGGAAAGAAUUUCCCAACCCCACCUACAAGAUACUCCACAUGAAUACAGUCUUCCUU